This 72-nucleotide small nucleolar RNA is filed under the name Strix occidentalis caurina (northern spotted owl). RNAcentral's name for it is "Small nucleolar RNA SNORD63 (ENSSOCG00000007823.1)". It matches the Rfam family "Small nucleolar RNA SNORD63". Rfam says of the family: snoRNA U63 is found in both humans and mice. U63 is a member of the C/D class of snoRNA which contain C (UGAUGA) and D (CUGA) box motifs. The record is from Rfam by way of RNAcentral. Lineage: Eukaryota; Metazoa; Chordata; Aves; Strigiformes; Strigidae.
GUGCUGUGAUGUUAACUGUCAACACAUCAUUCUGAAGAAGAGUUGUGUGGAGACUUUCUGUAACUGAGCACC